AGAAUUGUCCACCUUAAAAUAAUCCAUUACACCCUUAAGGCCUUGGUAAUUAAAAACAAAUUAAUUAAAAAAAAACUGCUAUCCCAAUUCAAUUAGUAACCGAAAACACUCUGAACCGAAAACACUCAGAAAAUCAAACCCUUCGAAUCUCUCUCCAAAUAUUCAAAAACCCUCAUUCAAUCACCCCUAAAUUGCAGAAUUUCGAAAUCCUUCCUUCAACCACCCCUAAAUUGCUCAUUCAAUCACCCUUCAUUCAAUCGUUAAUGGAUAUCCCUCAAUCAAUCACCCCUAAAUGGCAGGAUUUUGUAAACCCUACCCGAAAAUUUCUGCUUAUUCAAUUGCAUUGCAAUGUUUAAAUUCCAACUUCAAGAAUAUCGAUUUCAAGCAUAUUCAUCAAAUUGCGGUCAAAGAUCGGAACUAAUAGGGGUUGGAAAUUAAUUUCUGUAUUCGACGGAGAAAUUGGAGAUGCACCGCUGUUUCUUCACCAACAUUGGAAACCGGAAACUCUGAUUUUCCGACGACUAGGAAGCUGUGGCGAAAUCAGUUAAUAUUCUGAAGAAUCAUGCGUUUGAAUGGUGCCUGGAUUUUCUAUAGAACAUACGGCCAUGGACACGUGAAAGUUCUUCUUAUAAUUGGUUUAGCUGGGAUACAUGAUUCACGGGGCCUCAAAUCAGAGGGUUGGCUGGGACUGAGGUACCCAAUGAUGAUGAAUCAACGGUGGUCGGUUGAUGAUGCGAAUGCAGGGAAUGGGAGUAUGGAGGUUUGUGCAGGGAACGGGUCUGGAGCUUGGCUCCUAUGAAAGGUCCGAGUAUACGUAAUUUUUUUACAAGAAUGGUUAUUUUUUUUUAUUGAAUUUGAUGUUUAUUUGUGGAAUUGUUGAACAAUUUUGAAUUAUGAGAUGAACUCACAUUAGGAGGUGGUAGUGGUGUCAAACAACAAACUUCAGGCUUCAGAUUCAAAGAUAACUUUAAACCGGUGUCAUAUUAGAGCUGAUUGUCUGAUACAAGUGAAUUUGAUGUGAUUUGAGAUCCAAUACAACAGAAUAGCUGAUUGUCUGCUAGGGUUUAUGCUCGGACAAUGUUUUUAGGUUGAAAUAAGCCCUUGAUUGAACUGAACUGAAUAGUGAGAGAACUACAAUUUUUGCAUUGUGUUUUUUUUGUUAUUGAUCACUAUUCCAAACUUUGGAUUUGUGACUUACACUAAUGUGUUUGAUGCCAAUUUUUAUAUUUUAGUGUCGGCAUUGAACAAAGCUGGGUACCCUGACAUGUAAAUCAUAGUAGGAGAAGUAGGUUGGCCAACUCAUGGUGAUAUACAUACCAAAUCUUUCUGAAUUGUUGGUGGCAGACUGGCAGUUAAAUAGGUUCCGAAUCCGAAUUAGUAAAAACUCGAGUCGGUUCAGUCAGUUUAAGAUAAUAUUUUUUUCUGGGUUUACUUUGUUGCGUUUGUUCUGCUAUUCCUCUUCAAUUUGACGUCUAAUUGGUUGUUGUUUAACCGUGUGCUGCCCCGUUUAAGCUCAACACAGACGCUGCUAUCAAGGAGGGAGUGCUUAAAAUGGGCGUGCAACAGCAAUUUAAAAACUGGAUGUUGCAAACAACCAGAUACCGAGUUUUUAGCUCAGGUUUCUAUGGUUUCAAGGCUAAAACAUGACAAUUUUGUUGAAUUGCUUGGUUAUUGUGUUGAUGGCAACCUACGCAUUCUUGCCUAUGAGUUUGCAUCAAAUGGAUCUCUGCAUAACAUCCUUCACGGUCUACUUAGUUAUCUCCAAGGAGCUGAAUUGGAAGAAGGAAGGAAGCCAGGAUGAUAUCAUUGGAUGUUAAACAGCUACUAGAAGGAAGGUAACAAGUUGUCAUUAAAGAUGGUGCAAGGUGGGGAUCAGGGCCUGCAACAAUGUAAUGCACAAGGGUCUGAUGCUGGCCACUAACAGAUUUUUUGAUUGAUGUAAUUGUUGUGAUUAGUUGAAUAUGAACUUAGAUUGCAAAAGUAACCUAUAGUAUGACCUUCAUGUUUUGGUCUUAUGAACUUUGCGAAUAUUUUCUUGCCUAAUAUUUGUUGUGGUUUGUUGUAAUAAUACUAUUUUAAGUUUUUUAUAUAAUUUCGCACGCAUCGCGUGCAUAUAAGAAUAGUCUCUUAUAUUUACAUCCUUGAGUAUAAAUUAAUAAU
Long non-coding RNA from Spinacia oleracea (spinach), 2160 nucleotides. RefSeq lists it as uncharacterized. Lineage: Eukaryota; Viridiplantae; Streptophyta; Magnoliopsida; Caryophyllales; Amaranthaceae. The record is from RefSeq and is a predicted model, not a curated record. The transcript is spliced from 5 exons.